This is a long non-coding RNA of Symphalangus syndactylus (siamang), 1975 nucleotides long. RefSeq lists it as uncharacterized. NCBI's taxonomy places the organism in Eukaryota, Metazoa, Chordata, Mammalia, Primates, Hylobatidae. The record is from RefSeq and is a predicted model, not a curated record.
CUUCUCUGGUGCUCCUUGUUUUUUAACUGACGACACUCGAGAGCGCCAAUUUUCCUAGAUUCGAUUUUGUGGUUUGGAACUGUGGUUUUGGAAUCCAGAGUAGUCGCCUCGUUCUAGACACAAUUGGAGACACAGGUUCUUUUAUCAAGGCCUUGACUGGAAUGGCAUAUUUUCAGAUAUGACCACAUUGCUUUGAGGAAAUGAGGUUGAUGUUGUAGAGCUGAUAAAACCCCCACGGAAAGGCCAGCCUACCUCUGGCUGGAGUGCAAUGGCACAAUCUCGGCUCACCACAACGUCUGCCGCCCAGGUUCAAGCGAUUCUCCUGCCUCGGCCUCCCGAGUCGCUGGGAUUACAGACUAUGGAAAUGAUGUUAGACAAAAAGCAAAUUCAAGCGAUUUUGUUAUUCGAGUUCAAAAUGGGUUGUAAAGCAGCGGAGACAACUCGCAAUGUCAAUAAUGCAUUUGACCCAGGAACUGCUAAUGAACAUACGGUGCAGUGGUGGAUCAAGAAGUUUUGCAAAGGAGACAAGAGCCUUGAAGAUAGGGAGCAUAGUGGCCAGCCAUCAGAAGUUGACAAUGACCAACUGAUAGCAAUCAUCAAAGCUGACCCUCUUACAACUACACAAGACGUUGCUAAAGAACUCAACGUUGACCAUUCUAUGGUCGUUGGCAUUUGAAGCAAAUUGGGAAGGUGAAAAAGCUCUGUGAGUGAGUGCCUCAUGAGCUGAGCAAAAAUUUAAAAAAUAAUAAUUUUUUUGAAGUGUUGUCUUCUCUUAUUCUAUGCAACAACAAUGAACUAUUUCUUGAUUGGAUUUUUGCAAUGAAAAGUGGAUUUAAAUUUUUUUUUUUUUUUUUUUCUGAGAUGGAGUCUCACUUUGUCACCCAGGUUGGAGUGCAGUGGUGGUGCAAUCUCAGCUCACUGCACCCUCUGCCUCCUGGGUUCAAGUGAUUCUCCUGCCUCAGCCUCCCAGGUAGCUGGGGUUAUAGGCAUAUGCCACAACGCCUGGCUAAUUUUUGUAUUUUUAGUAGAGAUGGGGUUUUGCCAUACUGGCCAAGCUGGUCUCGAACUCCUGCUCAGGGGGUCCACCCACCUUGGCCUCUCAAAGUGCUAGGAUUACAGGUGUGAGCCACCGUGCCCAGCCGAAAAGUGGAUUUUAUAUGACAACUGGUGACAGUCAGCUCAGUGGUUGGACCGAGAACAAGCUCCAAAGCACUUCUCAAAGUCAAACUUACACCAAACAAAGGUCAUGGUCACUGUUUGAUGGUCUGCUGCCGAUGUGAUCCACGACAGCUUUCUGAAUCCCUGCGAAACCAUCACAUCUGACAAGUAUGCUCAGCAAAUCAAAGAGAUCCACUAAAAACUGCAAAGCCUGCAGCCGGCAUUGGUCAACAAAUAGGGCUCAAUUCUUCUCCAUGACAACACCCAACCACACGUUGCACAACCAAUGCCUUCAAAAGUUGAACAAAUUGGGCUAUGAAUUUUUGCCUCAUCCAAAAUAUUCACCUGACCUCCCGCCAACUGACUAUCUCUUCUUCAAGUAUCUCAACAACUUAUUGCAGGGAAAACGCUUCCACAACUAGCAGGAUGCAGAAAAUGCUUUCCAAGAGUUUGUUGAAUCCUGAAGCACGGAUUUUUAUGCUACAGGAAGAAACAAACUUAUUUCUCAUUGGCAAAACUGUGUUGAUUGUAAUGGUUCUUUUUUUUUUUUAUGAGACGGAGUCUCGCUCUGUCUCCCAGGCUGGAGUGCGGUGGAGCGAUCUUGGCUCACUGCAAGCUCCGCCUCCCGGGUUUUACGCCAUUCUCCUGCCUCAGCCUCCCGAGUAGCUGGGACUACAGGUGUGCACCACCCAUGCCCGGCUAAUUUUUUUUUGUAUUUUUAGUAGAGAUGGGGUUUCACCGUGUUAGCCAGGAUGGUCUUCAACUCCUGACCUCGUGAUCUGCUUGCCUCGGCCUACCAAAGUGCUGGGAUUACAGG